AGUGAACGCUGGCGGUAGGCCUAACACAUGCAAGUCGAACGGCAGCACAGUAAGAGCUUGCUCUUACGGGUGGCGAGUGGCGGACGGGUGAGGAAUACAUCGGAAUCUACUUUUUCGUGGGGGAUAACGUAGGGAAACUUACGCUAAUACCGCAUACGACCUACGGGUGAAAGCAGGGGAUCUUCGGACCUUGCGCGAUUGAAUGAGCCGAUGUCGGAUUAGCUAGUUGGCGGGGUAAAGGCCCACCAAGGCGAGGAUCCGUAGCUGGUCUGAGAGGAUGAUCGGCCACACUGGAACUGAGACACGGUCCAGACUCCUACGGGAGGCAGCAGUGGGGAAUAUUGGACAAUGGGCGCAAGCCUGAUCCAGCCAGACCGCGUGGGUGAAGAAGGCCUUCGGGUUGUAAAGCCCUUUUGUUGGGAAAGAAAAGCAGCAGGUUAAUACCCCGCUGUUCUGACGGUACCCAAAGAAUAAGCACCGGCUAACUUCGUG
RNAcentral lists this ribosomal RNA (492 nucleotides) under uncultured bacterium. Its description in RNAcentral is "partial 16S ribosomal RNA". It matches the Rfam family "Bacterial small subunit ribosomal RNA", at positions 29 to 507 of the family's 1533-position model. The record is from RNAcentral.